This 61-nucleotide ribosomal RNA is filed under the name Pseudomonadota bacterium. Its description in RNAcentral is "Proteobacteria bacterium (groundwater metagenome) partial 16S ribosomal RNA". It matches the Rfam family "Bacterial small subunit ribosomal RNA", at positions 1 to 61 of the family's 1533-position model. RNAcentral also lists the same sequence under 2 other names. Lineage: Bacteria; Pseudomonadati; Pseudomonadota. The record is from RNAcentral.
AAACUGGAGAGUUUGAUCCUGGCUCAGAACGAACGCUGGCGGCGUGCUUAACACAUGCAAG